CGAAACUGCCUGAUGGAGGGGGAUAACUACUGGAAACGGUGGCUAAUACCGCAUAACGCGCAAGACCAAAGAGGGGGACCUUCGGGCCUCUUGCCAUCAGAUGUGCCCAGAUGGGAUUAGCUAGUUGGUGAGGUAACGGCUCACCAAGGCGACGAUCCCUAGCUGGUCUGAGAGGAUGACCAGCCACACUGGAACUGAGACACGGUCCAGACUCCUACGGGAGGCAGCAGUGGGGAAUAUUGCACAAUGGGCGCAACUAAUG
RNAcentral lists this ribosomal RNA (262 nucleotides) under Salmonella enterica subsp. enterica serovar Typhimurium. RNAcentral's name for it is "partial 16S ribosomal RNA". It matches the Rfam family "Bacterial small subunit ribosomal RNA", at positions 122 to 388 of the family's 1533-position model. Lineage: Bacteria; Pseudomonadati; Pseudomonadota; Gammaproteobacteria; Enterobacterales; Enterobacteriaceae. The record is from RNAcentral.